Molecule: long non-coding RNA, 2939 nt
Filed under: Homo sapiens (human)
Lineage: Eukaryota; Metazoa; Chordata; Mammalia; Primates; Hominidae
Description: HSALNT0286127
Source: RNAcentral
AGAUACUGCAUUUUUGACAAAUUGAAGGUUUGUUCAACGUUGCAUCAAGCAAUCUACGGGCACCAGUUUUGCAACAGCAUGCACUCACUUCAUGUCUCUGUCACACUUUGCUCCAGCCGAUCCCUCUGUUUGGGGUCCCUGACUUCCCGCAACACUCCUUGACAAUGCACCUGGUUAUCCAAGAGCUCUGAUGGAGACGUACGAAGAGAUUAAUGUUGUUUUCAUGUCCACUGACACAACAUGCAUUUUGCAGCCCACAGAUCAAGAAUUAAUUCCAACUUUCAAUCUUAUUAUUUAAGAAAUACAUAUUGUAAGGCUAUAGCUUCCAUAGAUAGUGAUUCCUCUGAUGAAUCUCAGAAAACUCCAUUGAAAAUCUGGAAAACAUUCACAAUUCUAGAUUCUAUGCAUUAAGACCAUGGAUAAUUCAUGAGAGGAGGUCAAAAUAUCAACAUUAACAGGAGUUUGGAAAAUGUGAAUUCCAACCCUCAUGAAUGACUUUGAGGGGUUCAAGACUUCAGUGGAGGAAGCACUGUAGGUGUGGUGGAAAACAGCAAGAGAAUGAGAAUUAGAAGUGGAGCCUGAAGAUGUGACUCAAUUGCUGCAAUAUUAUGAAAAAUUUUAACAUAUUUGGUGUUACUUCUUAUGGAUGAGCAAAGAAAGUGGUCUCAGAUGAGCAAAGAAAGUGGUUUCUUAAGUGGAAUCUACUCCAGAUGUGAACACUGUAGAAAUGACAACAAAUGAUUUAGAAUAUUACAUAAACUUAGUUGAUAAAGCAGCAGCAGGGUUUGGGAGGAUUGACUGCAAUUUUGAAAGUAGUUCUACUGUGGAUAAAAUGCUAGCAAAAAGGAUUGCAUGCUAUAGAGAAAUUUUUCAUGAAAGGAAGAGUCAAUUGAUGCAACAAGCUUCAUUUUUGUCUUAUUUCAAGAGAUAGAUUGCCACAGCCACCCCAGCCUUCAGCAACCAAUGCCCUAGUCAGAAAACAGCCAUCACCAUUGAGGCAAAAGCCUCCACCAGCAAAAAGGUGAUGACUUGCUAAAGGCUCAGAUGAUUAUUAGUAUUUUUUAGCAAUAAGGUAUUUUUAAAUUAAAGUAUGUAUAUUGUUUCUUAGAUAUAAUGCUAUUGCACACUUAAUAGGCUACAAUAUAGUACAGACAUAACUUUUAUAUACACUGAAAAAACAAAAAAAUCGUGUGAUACCUUUUAUUUUGAUUUUUGUUUUAUUGUGUUAGUCUGGAACUGAGCCCUCUAUAUCUCUGAAGUAUGCCUGUACUUUGUUUCGAAAACAUUGCUACUACAGUAUAAUCUAUAACACAAUACAUUUGAAAUCUUAAAGAAUAACAAAUUACACAUAAAAAUGCUUGAGUAUGAAUAUACAUUAGAACAAUAUUUUAGAAGGAGUGGCAAGAAUAUAACAUCUACUUUACUUCCCUUCUAUUUAAUAAGGUCAUUACUGCCAGGUGCAGAGGCUCACACCUGUAAUCCCAGUGCUUAGGAGGCCAAGGCAGGGGGAUUGCUUGAGGCAGGAAGUUCAAGACCAGCCUGGGUAACAUAAUGAGACAUCUCAACAAAACAAUAAGAAAAUUAGCCAGGCCUCAUGGCACAUGCCUGUAGUCCUAGCUACUCCGGAGGCCAGGGCAAGAAGAUUGCUUGAGCUCAGGAGUUCGAGGCUGCAGUGAGCUAUGAUUGUGCCGCUGCACUUCAGCCUGGCCAAUGGAGUGAGAUUCUGUCUUUAAAAAAUUAAAAAGAAUAAAGAAAAAUGAGGUAAUUACCUAGUGAGAAGAAGAAAUUAAAAUGUUCCAAUAUAAAUUAUUCUUUAUUAUUUCAUUUUGUUUACUAUAUUAUUCUGAGUUCUGGUAGAUAUAUGCCAAUUGAUUCUUUGGUGCUUGGAGCCAUGAUCUACUAUGAUGGAAAUGUCUAACAAAUUAGGAAGCUAGAAAUAUGAUAAAAUAUCAGAACCUUUGCAGGUUCUGUACAGUAUAUGUUAUCACUGAAAGCAUAGAAAUUUAUGUGAUCACCAUAAGCACUAGCAUAACAGAAAUAUUGUCUUUGUAUUUUAUUUGAAGUAUGCAAUACUAUGUACACACUUAAUAUUGUCCAUUGACAUGCUUGCAAACACUAGCUUUCCUCCAAUGCCAGUAAAAUAAUAUAAAACUGGACACAUCCUGUUUUCAUUCACUUGAUGUAAAUAAUACUCUGAUUUUACAACAGUUCCAAAUAAGAAAAUAUUUUUUUAAAAAAACUUGUAAUCAAUAACUGGGUCAUCUAACCCCAAUCAUCAGAGGGGAAUUAUUUCUGAACUUUUGAAGUUUAACCAUCCACAAUAUUAAUAAUUUUGUGUUUUGAGUUUGUAACUGUGUGAAGCAUGAAUUCAUCCUUAAAAUGACACUAAUAUAAUCUGCAAACUUAUUUUGUAUAAAUCAACAAACGCAUACAAAUGGAAAUAAAUUAUCGACCUAAGGUGAAGAGACAAAAUUAUUACUUAAGCACCAUCCUCUGCUAAUUGAUAAGCACUUACUGAAAUAAUAUUCUUCAUACAAAUAUUUUUUAAAUAUUCUCCUUACCCCAUUAUCAUUUUUUAGGAAAGUGGUAUGUUUAUUAUGGCUGUCAUUAAUUAAAAUUUGGCCUACUUUUCCUCUUUCCAAAGUGCAGGUGAACUUUUGAAAUCUAACUGAAAUAAAUUACAAAUGAUAAUCUUUGCCUUCCUUUUCUGAAAGAAACUAAAUUUCUUUUAAAAUCCAUUUUUUAUAGAGUCUCCCACACGUGCCCAUUCUGAGAAAUGAAUUUCCAAGAUUGUCUCAGUAAAGUCAUCUUUCCUUGCUAAUUUACACUGAGUGAAUUUUGCACCCCUAUAUGAGGGUGAUAACAUCAAAAUAAAUUGCUACAGUACCACCAGAUUGCCUCCCAACUUUAAAGUUUCAUACCAGAUAUUUUGAACACUC